GAAGAAGGCCUUCGGGUUGUAAAGCACUUUCAGUCGUGAGGAAGGCGGCGUCGUUAAUAGCGGCGUUGUUUGACGUUAGCGACAGAAGAAGCACCGGCUAACUCCGUGCCAGCAGCCGCGGUAAUACGGAGGGUGCGAGCGUUAAUCGGAAUUACUGGGCGUAAAGCGCAUGCAGGUGGUUUGUUAAGUCAGAUGUGAAAGCCCGGGGCUCAACCUCGGAAUUGCAUUUGAAACUGGCAGACUAGAGUACUGUAGAGGGGGGUAGAAUUUCAGGUGUAGCGGUGAAAUGCGUAGAGAUCUGAAGGAAUACCGGUGGCGAAGGCGGCCCCCUGGACAGAUACUGACACUCAGAUGCGAAAGCGUGGGGAGCAAACAGGAUUAGAUACCCUGGUAGUCCACGCCGUAAACGAUGUCUACUUGGAGGUUGUGGCCUUGAGCCGUGGCUUUCGGAGCUAACGCGUUAAGUAGACCGCCUGGGGAGUACGGUCGCAAGAUUAAAACUCAAAUGAAUUGACGGGGGCCCGCACAAGCGGUGGAGCAUGUGGUUUAAUUCGAUGCAACGCGAAGAACCUUACCUACUCUUGACAUCCAGAGAACUUUCCAGAGAUGGAUUGGUGCCUUCGGGAACUCUGAGACAGGUGCUGCAUGGCUG
This 652-nucleotide ribosomal RNA is filed under the name Vibrio parahaemolyticus. RNAcentral describes it as "bacterial SSU rRNA". It matches the Rfam family "Bacterial small subunit ribosomal RNA", at positions 407 to 1051 of the family's 1533-position model. Lineage: Bacteria; Pseudomonadati; Pseudomonadota; Gammaproteobacteria; Vibrionales; Vibrionaceae. The record is from RNAcentral.